This is a long non-coding RNA of Mus musculus (house mouse), 2837 nucleotides long. RefSeq annotates it as predicted gene, 54178. The record is from RefSeq and is a predicted model, not a curated record. The transcript has 2 exons. Lineage: Eukaryota; Metazoa; Chordata; Mammalia; Rodentia; Muridae.
AAAAUAUAACUAUAUUUUAUAACUUUUAUAGACACUAAUUUUCAUACAAAACUUGAAAUUUUCAUACUAGUCGUGAGUACUAAAUGUAGGUAGCUCUGCAUAUCCUCUUUGGAAACAACUCCCACCAUUUUGAGUAAAGAAUUAUCUUAGUCCGAGACAUAGCUCAAUCAGUAAAAUGCUUCAUGUACAAAAGUGAGAACCUGGGUUCAAGGUAUAGAAUCCACCUAUAAAGGUGGGUGUGAUGAUUUGUUCUUCUAAUUGUGCUACUGUUGAGGUGGAAACUAGCAGAACACCAGAGCUGGUUAUGGGAGUCAAGACUGUUUGAUGAUCUCCAAGAACAGUGGGGUUUUUACCCCAUCUCAAAAAUCCUCUUUGCAUAUCUGCAAGGGAUUUAAAUUGCGUUUCUUAACCAAACAGAGUAGGCACUGUAAAUUUUGCAUACUAAAUUAAUUAUUCAUGAAGUGGAUUAACUAAUACAAAUUUAAAAUUUCUAGAUAAACCUUCCUAGCCCCUGAAGGCAGGGUGGGAGGAGUGCUCUUUCACACUAAGAACUGUGCAGGAUGUUAACAUUCAUUCAGCCAGAGGAAUUAUGAGCUCCCCUACUGACACCCCUCUACUCCAGAUCCAGUUCUACAUUUCACUUCAGAAAAGAACAGGACUCCAAGAAAAAACAACCAUACACAACAAACAAGAUACGCUAUGACAAGGCAAAAGCUCUCAUAUCAAACUGGACAAGGCAAUCCAAUAGGAGGAAAAGAAUGUUGUAUAACUGUUUUUACAGUUAUCUUUAUUUUGAACCAAUAAAAUCCUAAUAAUACCAAAAUUCCAUUGUAAUUUGAUUUUAAUGUUCAAUAGUAAAAGUAGUUUCUAAUUUAAUUAUGUUAAAGAAUAGAGAUGUUAUAGCUGGAUUCUCUUACUAAGUGAAAAUGUAUACUAUAAAUUUUUUUCUCUCUUAUAAUCUAUGUUUUUCCAAACACUAUAAGCAUGUCACAUAUAGCCUAGUACUAUUAUGUCUACUAUAUUAUUUAUAUUAUUAUAAUAGAUACAGCUCUGUUGGAUUGAUAGAAUUUUAACAGACGCUGACAAAUUUAUAAAGAGUUCCUUUUUCUUUCUAACCUUGUCUAUCUACCGGUGUGAGGGCUGUUUGCUCUAAUUAAAUGAGAUGUGUCGUAGCUCUCAGGAUAAAAUAUGAAACUAUUUCCAAUUUACCUGAUAGUGAGUUAAAUACUCUAGUUCCGUAUUUCUUGUAUAUUAUUCCAGUGGAUUUUUAAAGAUUUUACUGUAAAAACCUAUUUGUUUCAGUAUGAAGACUUUAAAAUAUUUUUGUCAUAGAUGAGUAAUAUCCAUUUUCCUAAUCUAUCAUUUGUCAUUUUCUUCAAUGUAUUGUGCUUCAUUGUCAUAACAAAGUUUUAAUGAAGUUAAAUCACAAUUUUGUCACCCCAUGGUAUAUCUCACUUACUAUACCACUUAGUACUUCAUAAAUUAUUAAUUCUAAUGCAUUAUAAUUUAUAUUAUAUAACUCUGCUUUUUUUCAGGUUACUUAAUUUGACAGUUUUCUUUAGGUAAUUUACAGAAGAGACCUAAAUGAAUUGAUUACAUUACAUUUACUCUGCAAACAACAAAUCUUAAAUUAUUCAUUCACUGUUCCUCUUUAAGAAAUUUUACAACUGAGUGUACGUGUAUGUGAUCCAUUGCAGGAAAAAAAACAUAAUAUGAUAUUUAUUUUAUGACAUUAGAACUUGUCAUGACAUUUAAUAAGUUUUUGUUGAAUAUAUUGAAACAGGUUCGAAAGAGGAAAUUUGACCUCAUUAUUAAUUGGUAAAUGAAUUUUCCGUAAUUUUUUUAUUGCACUAUAACACACCCAAAUUCUGUGGUGUCAUGCAUGAUUUAUUUUAUCUCUCAGGUCUAAGAGUUGAUGGGCUUCAUAUGAGGGUACAUGGGGAAUGUUUCGUCUGGGUAUAGUCAAGGGGUACCUGGACUCAUCAUUGCAGGUCCAACUCACUAAGUGUCUGAAUCCCAGCUGGAGUGCUUGCAACCCCGAGCAACUGGUUUCCUCGAUCCAACUUUCUGUGUCCUUGAGCUCACUUCUGUCUCCAAUCUAAUUGAAUUUAUUUUCGGGCCUGGGACUCAACCAGGUGUGAAAUGCCAAGUCUUUAUUUGAUAUAUGAAGAAAAUCUCCACCUAUCUGCUAGCUUCCUUUCCUUCCAAGACUUUCAUAGAUCAUCCCAUAUUUAAGCCAAAAGGUGGGCUUUGGUCGUACAGAACAUACAGCUCAAAGCUCAUGCCUUCAAUUUUAAGUUUUUAUGCUUCACUUUCAUAUUUUUGGCAUAUGCCUUUUUCCUUUCCCUGGUUUCUCUUUAAGUACCAUCACAAACAUCAGCCAGAUAAAGGUUCUUUCUUAUUUCAAACGUCCCCAGGAAGAAACACUAACCUGUCCUGCUCCAAUCAGCUGCCCAUUUCAUGGCUGGUUGGUAUCUCAACUGCAGUUUAAGCUUAAAUGUUACAAAAGUUAACUGACAAAUUAUUAUUACUUCUUGAAAAAAAAUAGUUUUUAAACUGCCUUUUCUUUUGUCUUGAUUGCCUGUGUCUGAAUCAAGCGAAAACUGUGUGAUCGUUCUAAUUACCCAAGAAAAAGAAAGCAGAAACCACAUUAUUAAGACACAGGCAGUGAAACAUUGAAACUGUGAAUAUGUAAAAGGAAAUUAUGAGAGAGACAAGACUAAUAGAAUUUUUAGGUUCCAGGAGAACCAUGGAUGGACAUAGGAAAGAGAUCUAAGAUGUCCGGAAAAGUGGUUAUUUAGCCCAUCACUGAUGUUGUAAAAAAAAAAAAAAAAAAA